RNAcentral lists this ribosomal RNA (250 nucleotides) under uncultured bacterium. Its description in RNAcentral is "partial 16S ribosomal RNA". It matches the Rfam family "Bacterial small subunit ribosomal RNA", at positions 524 to 774 of the family's 1533-position model. The record is from RNAcentral.
UACGUAGGGGGCAAGCGUUGUCCGGAUUUAUUGGGCGUAAAGGGUGCGUAGGCGGCCUUUUAAGUCAGAUGUGAAAGGUCACGGCUCAACCGUGGUAAGCAUUUGAAACUGGAAGGCUUGAGUUAAGGAGAGGAAAGUGGAAUUCCUAGUGUAGCGGUGAAAUGCGUAGAUAUUAGGAGGAAUACCAGUGGCGAAGGCGACUUUCUGGACUUAUACUGACGCUGAUGCACGAAAGCGUGGGGAGCGAACA